RNAcentral lists this transfer RNA (74 nucleotides) under Candidatus Nanohaloarchaea archaeon. RNAcentral describes it as "tRNA-Lys". It matches the Rfam family "tRNA". From Rfam's summary of the family: Transfer RNA (tRNA) molecules are approximately 80 nucleotides in length. Their secondary structure includes four short double-helical elements and three loops (D, anti-codon, and T loops). Lineage: Archaea; Methanobacteriati; Methanobacteriota; Candidatus Nanohaloarchaea. The record is from RNAcentral.
GGGCCUGUAGCUCAGUCUGGCAGAGCACCGGCCUUUUAAGCCGGCUGUCGCGGGUUCAAAUCCCGCCGGGCCCG